AACGAACGCUGGCGGCAUGCCUAACACAUGCAAGUCGAACGCGACCUUCGGGUCUAGUGGCGCACGGGUGCGUAACGCGUGAGAACCUGCCCUUAGGUUCGGAAUAACUCCCCGAAAGGGGUGCUAAUACCGGAUAAUGUCUUCGGACCAAAGAUUUAUCGCCUUUGGAUGGGCCCGCGUUGGAUUAGCUAGUUGGUAGGGUAAAAGCCUACCAAGGCGACGAUCCAUAGCUGGUCUGAGAGGAUGAUCAGCCACACUGGGACUGAGACACGGCCCAGACUCCUACGGGAGGCAGCAGUGGGGAAUAUUGGACGAUGGGCGAGAGCCUGAUCCAGCAAUGCCGCGUGAGUGAUGAAGGCCUUAAGGUUGUAAAGCUCUUUUACCCGGGAUGAUAAUGACAGUACCGGGAGAAUAAGCUCCGGCUAACUCCGUG
RNAcentral lists this ribosomal RNA (433 nucleotides) under uncultured bacterium. RNAcentral describes it as "partial 16S ribosomal RNA". It matches the Rfam family "Bacterial small subunit ribosomal RNA", at positions 29 to 507 of the family's 1533-position model. The record is from RNAcentral.